CCAGCACCCCGAGUGGUCGGGACGAUUAUUGGGCCUAAAGCAUCCGUAGCCGGUUUUACAAGUCCUCCGUUAAAUCCAACUGCUUAACAGAUGGGCCGCGGAGGAUACUAUAAGACUAGGAGGCAGGAGAGGCAAGCGGUACUCAGUGGGUAGGGGUAAAAUCCGUUGAUCCAUUGAAGACCACCAGUGGCGAAGGCGGCUUGCCAGAAUGCGCUCGACGGUGAGGGAUGAAAGCUGGGGGAGCAAACCGGAUUAAAUACCCGGGUAGUCCCAGCUGUAAACGAUGCAGACUCGGUGAUGGACUAGCUUUAUGCUAGUCCAGUGCCGCAGGGAAGCCGUUAAGUCUGCCGCCUGGGUAGUACGGUCGCAAGACUG
This 375-nucleotide ribosomal RNA is filed under the name uncultured organism. Its description in RNAcentral is "bacterial SSU rRNA". It matches the Rfam family "Archaeal small subunit ribosomal RNA", at positions 476 to 851 of the family's 1478-position model. The record is from RNAcentral.